GUGGCAUGAGUGUGAAGUGCUAAAUGAGGAAAUCAGCUGAUCAGAGGGAAAACUUGUACAGGAAGGACUGCAUAAGUAAGGGAAAGGAACAACUUCUAGCGUUCAACACGCUCUACGUACGAAAGGAAAGAAGAGGACAACACGAAUACCAUAUACAUGUAUACAGCUACUGAUCUGGACGAGAAGCUCGAAGUACCCAAGAAGUACGAAGUGUCCAUACUUUUUACCUUUGUAAUCAGCUGAGGAAAUAUAACAACGAAUACUUCUCGGUUGUUCAUGCUUGGUACUGAGUGCUCAAUCCCGAGUAAAUAACACAAGAUUUCGAUUUUAUUGCUCAGUUUUACGUAUUAAACAAGACUUUGAGAUUUAUUUGAGAAAAUAAAAGAUGAAAAUCUCCAGUUGCGGCCAUCUUUGUAAAUAUUUUUCCGGAACUUUGCUCGAAAACUCGAUCAAAAAAUUAAAAAUCCUCCAAUCAUUGCCAGUUAAUUAGUGAUCUUAAGAUUCUUAAAGGUUUCAGGUGGAACAUGUAGCUUUUUUACUCAGGUGUUACCGAUAAAGAUUUAUUAAUCCAUUUUUUUGCCCGGGCUAGAUGACAAAAUAAGGUUGGGCUCGAUGAAAAAUAUUACUUUCUCCGUGCACACGGAAUAACACGGUUUAGGGAGGGGGGAGCCUACUCAUCAGGUCUCUGAGUUUUCACGUUCUGGAUUUCGAGUAGCCUCAUCCAAUCUAAUAACUAAACGAUUACGGUCUGGAUGCCAGGCAGAAACACAUCUGCGAAUGCUUCAUUAACUGGUACAUUAACUGAUGAGGGGUAGGAUCGUUACUGCCAGUGCAGGGGAUUGGACCCAGAUAGCGUAGAACAUCGUCACCACAGCGAUACCUGUGUCACCGUUUCCCGUCUCUGACCCUUUCUGCUCUGCUUGGUCACGGUUGUUAACGAUAUCUCAGUGCGAUAAACUUGGGACUAAAUUGUGCUUUUCUGUCGCUCAAGCGAAGGUGAAGAGUGGAAGGAAAUUAUUAAAGAGUAUUUGCACAGGGACUAUCGAAACGUAUGAGCGCCACUUGCAAAACAUUUUUUUUCUAGUUACUGUCUCGCUAC
RNAcentral lists this long non-coding RNA (1099 nucleotides) under Acanthaster planci (crown-of-thorns starfish). RNAcentral's name for it is "uncharacterized LOC110974297, transcript variant X2". The record is from RNAcentral. Lineage: Eukaryota; Metazoa; Echinodermata; Asteroidea; Valvatida; Acanthasteridae.